Molecule: ribosomal RNA, 905 nt
Filed under: Klebsiella ornithinolytica
Lineage: Bacteria; Pseudomonadati; Pseudomonadota; Gammaproteobacteria; Enterobacterales; Enterobacteriaceae
Description: Raoultella ornithinolytica partial 23S ribosomal RNA
Rfam family: Bacterial large subunit ribosomal RNA
Source: RNAcentral
ACAAGCAGUGGGAGCCUACUUGUUAGGUGACUGCGUACCUUUUGUAUAAUGGGUCAGCGACUUAUAUUCUGUAGCAAGGUUAACCGUAUAGGGGAGCCGCAGGGAAACCGAGUCUUAACUGGGCGUUAAGUUGCAGGGUAUAGACCCGAAACCCGGUGAUCUAGCCAUGGGCAGGUUGAAGGUUGGGUAACACUAACUGGAGGACCGAACCGACUAAUGUUGAAAAAUUAGCGGAUGACUUGUGGCUGGGGGUGAAAGGCCAAUCAAACCGGGAGAUAGCUGGUUCUCCCCGAAAGCUAUUUAGGUAGCGCCUCGUGAACUCAUCUUCGGGGGUAGAGCACUGUUUCGGCUAGGGGGUCAUCCCGACUUACCAACCCGAUGCAAACUACGAAUACCGAAGAAUGUUAUCACGGGAGACACACGGCGGGUGCUAACGUCCGUCGUGAAGAGGGAAACAACCCAGACCGCCAGCUAAGGUCCCAAAGUCAUGGUUAAGUGGGAAACGAUGUGGGAAGGCACAGACAGCCAGGAUGUUGGCUUAGAAGCAGCCAUCAUUUAAAGAAAGCGUAAUAGCUCACUGGUCGAGUCGGCCUGCGCGGAAGAUGUAACGGGGCUAAACCAUGCACCGAAGCUGCGGCAGCGACACUAUGUGUUGUUGGGUAGGGGAGCGUUCUGUAAGCCGUUGAAGGUGGCCUGUGAGGGUUGCUGGAGGUAUCAGAAGUGCGAAUGCUGACAUAAGUAACGAUAAAGCGGGUGAAAAGCCCGCUCGCCGGAAGACCAAGGGUUCCUGUCCAACGUUAAUCGGGGCAGGGUGAGUCGACCCCUAAGGCGAGGCCGAAAGGCGUAGUCGAUGGGAAACAGGUUAAUAUUCCUGUACUCGGUGUUACUGCGAAGGGGGGACGGAG